CCUACGGGAGGCAGCAGUGGGGGAUAUUGCACAAUGGGGGAAACCCUGAUGCAGCAACGCCGCGUGAAGGAAGGCGCGUUUCGGCGCGUAAAGCCCUGUCCUCAGGGAAGAAGAAGGACGGUAGCUGACUAAGAAGCCACGGCUAACUACGUGCCAGCAGCCGCGGUAAUACGUAGGGGGCAAGCGUUAUCCGGAUUUACUGGGUGUAAAGGGGGCGCAGACGGCAGGGCAAGCCAGCAGUGAAAGCCACGGGCUUAACCUCUGGACUGCGGUUGGAACUGCGUGGCUGGAGUGAAGGAGGGGUAGGCGGAAUUCCGGGUGUAGCGGUGAAAUGCGUAGAUAUUCGGAGGAACACCGGUGGCGAAGGCGGCCUGCUGGACUGCGACUGACGCUGAGGCUCGAAAGUGUGGGGAGCAAACAGGAUUAGAUACCCGAGUAGUC
Molecule: ribosomal RNA, 441 nt
Filed under: uncultured bacterium
Lineage: Bacteria
Description: partial 16S ribosomal RNA
Rfam family: Bacterial small subunit ribosomal RNA
Source: RNAcentral